This 253-nucleotide ribosomal RNA is filed under the name uncultured bacterium. RNAcentral describes it as "partial 16S ribosomal RNA". It matches the Rfam family "Bacterial small subunit ribosomal RNA", at positions 524 to 776 of the family's 1533-position model. The record is from RNAcentral.
UACGUAGGGCGCAAGCGUUGUCCGGAAUUAUUGGGCGUAAAGAGCUCGUAGGCGGCUUGUCACGUCGGGUGUGAAAGCCCGGGGCUUAACCCCGGGUCUGCAUUCGAUACGGGCAGGCUAGAGUGUGGUAGGGGAGAUCGGAAUUCCUGGUGUAGCGGUGAAAUGCGCAGAUAUCAGGAGGAACACCGGUGGCGAAGGCGGGACUCUGGGCCGAUACUGACGCUGAGGAGCGAAAGCGUGGGGAGCAAACAGG